AGAGUUUGAUCCUGGCUCAGAUUGAACGCUGGCGGAAUGCUUUACACAUGCAAGUCGAGCGGCAGCGCGGGGCAACCUGGCGGCGAGCGGCGAACGGGUGAGUAAUGCAUCGGAACAUGUCCAUGGAUGGGGGAUAGCCCGGCGAAAGCCGGAUUAAUACCGCAUGAGCCCGAGAGGGGAAAGUGGGGGACCGCAAGGCCUCACGUCGAUGGGUUGGCCGAUGCCCGAUUAGCUAGUUGGUGAGGUAAUGGCUCACCAAGGCGAUGAUCGGUAGCUGGUCUGAGAGGAUGAUCAGCCACACUGGGACUGAGACACGGCCCAGACUCCUACGGGAGGCAGCAGUGGGGAAUUUUGGACAAUGGGGGCAACCCUGAUCCAGCCAUUCCGCGUGAGUGAAGAAGGCCUUCGGGUUGUAAAGCUCUUUUGUCCGGAGCGAAAAGGUUACGGUGAAUAUCCGUGACUACUGACGGUACCGGAAGAAUAAGCACCGGCUAACUACGUGCCAGCAGCCGCGGUAAUAC
Molecule: ribosomal RNA, 521 nt
Filed under: uncultured bacterium
Lineage: Bacteria
Description: bacterial SSU rRNA
Rfam family: Bacterial small subunit ribosomal RNA
Source: RNAcentral